GAUGAACGCUGGCGGCGUGCCUAAUACAUGCAAGUCGAGCGAACGGACGAGAAGUUUGCCUCUCUGAUGUUAGCGGCGGACGGGUGAGUAACACGUGGAUAACCUACCUAUAAGACUGGGAUAACUUCGCGAAACCGGAGCUAAUACCGGAUAAUAUUUUGAACCGCAUGGUUCAAAAGUGAAAGACGGUCUUGCUGACACUUAUAGAUGGAUCCGCGCUGCAUUAGCUAGUUGGUAAGGUAACGGCUUACCAAGGCAACGAUGCAUAGCCGACCUGAGAGGGUGAUCGGCCACACUGGAACUGAGACACGGUCCAGACUCCUACGGGAGGCAGCAGUGGGGAAUCUUCGGCAAUGGACGAAAGCCUGACGGAGCAACGCCGCGUGAGUGAUGAAGGUCUUCGGAUCGUAAAACUCUGUUAUUAGGGAAGAACAUAUGUGUAAGUAACUGUGCCCAUCUUGACGGUACCUACUCAGAAAGCCCCGGCUAACUACGUG
RNAcentral lists this ribosomal RNA (497 nucleotides) under uncultured bacterium. Its description in RNAcentral is "partial 16S ribosomal RNA". It matches the Rfam family "Bacterial small subunit ribosomal RNA", at positions 28 to 507 of the family's 1533-position model. The record is from RNAcentral.